Molecule: ribosomal RNA, 113 nt
Filed under: Salvator merianae (Argentine black and white tegu)
Lineage: Eukaryota; Metazoa; Chordata; Lepidosauria; Squamata; Teiidae
Source: RNAcentral
AGCCUGAAGAAUUCUGCCCUGGAUAAGCUUGUCCGAUCUCAGCAGCUAAGCAGGCUGAGGCUUAGUUACAUGCGGAUGGGAGACCACCUGGAAAUAUCAUGUGCUAUAGGCUA